This 466-nucleotide ribosomal RNA is filed under the name uncultured bacterium. Its description in RNAcentral is "partial 16S ribosomal RNA". It matches the Rfam family "Bacterial small subunit ribosomal RNA", at positions 28 to 507 of the family's 1533-position model. The record is from RNAcentral.
GAUGAACGCUGGCGGCGUGCUUAACACAUGCAAGUCGAACGAUGAAGCCCUGCUUGCUGGGUGGAUUAGUGGCGAACGGGUGAGUAACACGUGAGUAACCUGCCCUUAACUCUGGGAUAAGCCUGGGAAACUGGGUCUAAUACCGGAUAGGAGCGUCCACCGCAUGGUGGGUGUUGGAAAGAUUUAUCGGUUUUGGAUGGACUCGCGGCCUAUCAGCUUGUUGGUGAGGUAAUGGCUCACCAAGGCGACGACGGGUAGCCGGCCUGAGAGGGUGACCGGCCACACUGGGACUGAGACACGGCCCAGACUCCUACGGGAGGCAGCAGUGGGGAAUAUUGCACAAUGGGCGCAAGCCUGAUGCAGCGACGCCGCGUGAGGGAUGACGGCCUUCGGGUUGUAAACCUCUUUCAGUAGGGAAGAAGCGAAAGUGACGGUACCUGCAGAAGAAGCACCGGCUAACUACGUG